This 253-nucleotide ribosomal RNA is filed under the name uncultured bacterium. Its description in RNAcentral is "partial 16S ribosomal RNA". It matches the Rfam family "Bacterial small subunit ribosomal RNA", at positions 524 to 776 of the family's 1533-position model. The record is from RNAcentral.
UACGGAGGAUGUAAGCGUUAUCCGGAAUGAUUGGGCGUAAAGCGUCCGCAGGUGGCUGUGUAAGUCUGCUGUUAAAGAGUCUAGCUCAACUAGAUACAAGCAGUGGAAACUACACGGCUAGAGUACGUUCGGGGCAGAGGGAAUUCCUGGUGUAGCGGUGAAAUGCGUAGAGAUCAGGAAGAACACCGGUGGCGAAGGCGCUCUGCUAGGCCGUAACUGACACUGAGGGACGAAAGCUAGGGGAGCGAAUGGG